This 488-nucleotide ribosomal RNA is filed under the name uncultured Lachnospiraceae bacterium. RNAcentral's name for it is "bacterial SSU rRNA". It matches the Rfam family "Bacterial small subunit ribosomal RNA", at positions 8 to 507 of the family's 1533-position model. Lineage: Bacteria; Bacillati; Bacillota; Clostridia; Lachnospirales; Lachnospiraceae. The record is from RNAcentral.
AGAGUUUGAUCCUGGCUCAGGAUGAACGCUGGCGGCGUGCUUAACACAUGCAAGUCGAACGGACUCAUAUUGAAACCUAGUGAUGUAUGAGUUAGUGGCGGACGGGUGAGUAACGCGUGGAGAACCUACCGUAUACUGGGGGAUAACACUUAGAAAUAGGUGCUAAUACCGCAUAAGCGCACAGCUUCGCAUGAAGCAGUGUGAAAAACUCCGGUGGUAUACGAUGGAUCCGCGUCUGAUUAGCUGGUUGGCGGGGUAAAGGCCCACCAAGGCGACGAUCAGUAGCCGGCCUGAGAGGGUGAACGGCCACAUUGGGACUGAGACACGGCCCAAACUCCUACGGGAGGCAGCAGUGGGGAAUAUUGCACAAUGGGGGAAACCCUGAUGCAGCGACGCCGCGUGAGUGAAGAAGUAUUUCGGUAUGUAAAGCUCUAUCAGCAGGGAAGAAAAUGACGGUACCUGACUAAGAAGCCCCGGCUAACUACGUA